Cygnus olor (mute swan) is the source of this 3970-nucleotide long non-coding RNA. RefSeq lists it as uncharacterized. NCBI's taxonomy places the organism in Eukaryota, Metazoa, Chordata, Aves, Anseriformes, Anatidae. The transcript has 14 exons. The record is from RefSeq and is a predicted model, not a curated record.
UGAACAAAAGGCGAAACUCGGAUGAACUCUCUCCAUCUCUCCCUCUCCUCGCCCGGGUUAUCUCAGCUUUGGCAACUUUAAGCCGGCGAGAUUUCCGCAACUUUCCCGCAGCUCCCUAACAGCGGGCAGCCCCCCUCCAGGCUCCUAAGGCAGCACUUUGAGGACAGGCGAAGGUCAAAACAUGGUCAUCGGGAAAAUGGGAUGCUUGCCAAAAUUGUCGGUCUGUGCUAGGUGCCAUACUGCGUUGUCCUUGGAAUGGUGGAAUACAACUUGGGUCUCCUCAGGGAUGACUGACGUGGCACAAACUGUACCAUGCAACUACCGAAUGCGUUCACCUUUUGGAUAUGUAAGUUAGUGGGCUACUGGAAGAAGAUGAAGAGCCUCUCACAGAAAUGUGAGGAUAAUGUAGAAAAUGCUGCUGCAAACCAUUUGGAUUAUAUUGCCAUCUGACAUUGCGGUCCUGCAGCUAACGGAAGGAAUUUGCCAGAUCUUUCUUGUUAUGUGGUUACUGAAGCAUUUUCCUGGCAUGGCAGUGAUGAUUGAUGAACACACUUCAGGCUUGAGCCACAGAGCAGGGUGAGGAUUUACAGUUCUGGAGUAGAAGUAUGAAUGGGAUUGAAGGAUUUACAUGGAGGACUCUGAACUCCUUCCCUUCCUGAGUCAGGAAGGAUAGGGGCCUGCUUUGAGACCUACUGAAGCUGUCUUGAAUGAUGUGACAAAUGGCAUGAUGAUGAUGAGGGCAUGAGAUGCAGCACAGCCAGGAGAGCCCCUGGCCCCUGAAUACUACCUUCAGAUGGAGGAGGGAAAAUAAGAUCUACAGGCACAUUAAGGAGGACCUGUCUCUUUGUUGUGAACAUUGCUGAGUUUAACUGGCAAAAGAUAUUCUCUAUGUCUGAAUCAGCAUGUGUCUGCAGCCUUGUGCACAAAACCUACUAGAGUCCCAGUGAGGGGAAAAACAACUUGUAAGGAACUAGUUAGUGCCCAAAGCACAAGUCCUCAGUAUUGGCUUCUGCAGAAAGUCCAAGGCUGCAAUUCCACGUGACUCCAAAAGGUAAUGUCUUCACUUUGCUACAAGAUGCAGAUGGAUCACUCUUUGCCAGCUUUCAAGGCAAAUAUUGCCAUAUAGUCCUUGCCCUCAGCAACAUCCUCAGUGUCCUGGUGAUGGGUGCUUUGGAAGGAUUGGGCAGAACAGACAUCAUGCUGCCUCUGCACAUCAGGCUGUCUGUUCUGCAUAAAGCUGCACUGUUUGGAAGAAGCGAGAUUGUCUUUCCUCACAGCUACGGCACUGCGCCACUCUCAACACAGCCUGCUUUUCCCCCCAUUUACCUGGGCGGCUGCUGCUGUUUCUGCUGCUGCUGGGGCUGCUGCAGUCUCGCUGCCUGUGCUUCACCCUGGCUUGGCUGACUUGAGACUCACUCGUCUGCACAUUGCUAAGGAAGAGGAGCGAUGGAGCCACAUUUUUUUCUGUUGGUUCUGGAAGCAAAGGGUUGUGAUGUGUGGUGGUUAUGGGGUUUUCUUUUUUUCUUUUUUUUCUAUUUAUUUUUAUUUUUUUUUGGGAGUGGGGAAGGAGGCAUGGUCAUCUAGGAUGGGGUGGGUGAAAGCUUAAAGAAAUAUGAUGUAAAGUAAUCCAGUGCUCAACAAGGGCAUCAGCAGCAAGAAUCCAGCCUCUGCUGCUCCAGAGGAUUAACAUGGGGAAAGCCACAGAGCCGCAGUCGGGUUUCACCUCAGCGUUGUGCUGGAGAUGGAUAAAUAAGGUUGCAUUUUUGGAGAGGGACCAAAAGGAAUGGAAGAGCAGCAUCAGUCUCUGAAUAGCAAAUCUUAUUUUCUCCAUGCAAUAGUUCUUCAAGAAUGAAACAGUAGUGGGACUUGCAGCUUUGCGCCACUGUGAGAUGAACUGCAUUUUGCAUCAUUGUCUUCACCUUCACAUCUGGGGUUGAUGUCUUCACCUCGCCUCUGUAACUAGCCCUGAGGCACAUGUUGUCUCAUAUCCACACGCCUUCUGUCAUGUUUCAUUAUUGAAUUAAUAAAAAACAUGUUCAGAAAAUGGGACAUGAAGGGCUGGACUGAAUUCUGUAGACAUGCAUGGAGGAGGCACUCUGCAUGCAGAUUCCACCUUUCUUGCAUUCAGGUAGUAGUUGUGGGAAGCAGCUGCCUUGAUGUUUCCAUCUUUCAUUUGUGGAAAACUUAAUAAGUCUUUGUUCAAGUCUGUUUAUGCAUUCAUUACCUCUUGUUUGCAACACUACACUAAGCUCCAGAUCUAAGGGAAGGACAGCAAGUUCUACCUACCAUAGCAGGCAUAGCACGGAUUCAGCAACAGGACAACUUGGAUGGACUUGAGUUAGGUGCACCAAAGACUGAACAGAAACACUGUAAGAAGUCGGACUUAUUCCAAAAUUUCUGUUAUCCCUCUAAGGGUGCUGUGAUAAGAAUAUGUUGCUCUCUGGAAGAAUUUGGAGGAAUCUCAGUGCAUAGUGAUUUUCUUUACAUGUCCUGUGUUUGGAAAAGGCCAUGAAACCCUUAUAAUGAACUGUACAAUAUUGUCAUAGAAAGACAUUUCUACAAAAGGUUUGUUUACCAUUUGAACUACUGGUACCUUAAACAAAUCAAGGCUGUGGUCCAGCAUCAGAGAAGGUCCACUCCAACUUCCAAAGAGGAUGACAACAGAGCCCUUGACUGAGGAAAAGAGAAGUUGGAAAGAUCUCUGGAUUCUAACUGGAAAAAAAAACUGAAAGGAAGUAAUGUGACCUGAAAGAAAGGCUUCUCCUGUGACGUCUUCAUACCACAAAGAUUUAGGCCAAGUUUUUGAAGUACUUAUGCAAAUUCAAAGUGUGUUUGCAGAAAACAGUUUGUAUGGUGAAGGUCUGGGUUCAGGCCAUUCUCCCACUGGUUAAGAAUGCAAGUUUGAAGGAGGGCCUUCGUCUCCUAUAAUAGUACCCUCAUGGCAAGGCUAAAAUUUAUGGCCACAUUCCAUGCUCAAAUUAAUUGAGAGGACAACUACAAUGUGGAUGCUCGGCUGGAAAGUGUGAUAUCUUUCCUUGUAUUUUAUCCUUGUUAGUAUUUUAAUGGAUAUUUUUAAAAGCCCUCUCAGAAUGUUCCAUUAAACUGUUCUUAGGGUGGUCUGCUGGGAUUGUGGGUUUAGGAGUAAGGAACUGGAUUCAACCCUUUCGUUUCUCUGGAGAGUGUUUUAACAUUUAGGAAAAAUAGGUAUUUAUCAUCACACCAUCUGUUCUUUUUUUUUUUUUUUCCAUCAGCUGAAACCUUUAUGCAAAUCAGCUAGCCAGCUUCAAUCACUUUUUUUUUCUUUUUUUUCCUUUUUUUUCUUUUUUUUUUCUUUUGCUUAGAACCCUGAAAAUAUGUUAGAGAUAUUUUAGAUGUAUCCUUUUAUCUUGUUUUAUGUUCCUACAAUGGGAAAAGGGUUUUCUGAGUAGAAUAAAGAUGUUUUUUUGAAGGUGCUCUUGUAUAAGUCCCAUAAGUUCCCUGUGCAGUCUGAUGUCAAAUAAAUACUCAAGACAGUUGUAAAGUUUUAUGAUAUGUCUGCGUUGCAAUCAAGAGAAAAGCAGGUAUUCUCAGUACUUUCUGAAAUUGCUGUCGUGAACUGAAAUCCAUGCCACCAAUCCUGCCUUUGGUAACUGGUUCAGAAAUCACCCUCCCCACUAUGACUGGCACACCGUCCUAGGCUGAAAAACAUGAGGUUAAUUACAGGAUUUGCUGCAUAUGUCAUUGAUAUUUUUGUAACUAACUACUUAAUUCCUUCUUAUUGUGCCUUGUAUUUACUAAACACAUUUAUUAAAUUCUAUGGAUGGAUCGCCCCUAUUUCCUUCAAUCCUCUAAGUUCAGAUGAGACGCUGUGUUAAAAGCCCAGGUGCUCUGGGCUCUUUCAGUAUUCAGUGGAAAGUGGUAUCUCAAGAGCCUAAGAGUGGUAACAGAGAAUGGCUUCUGCCCCAGGUGCCAUUGUUUGGUGUCUAAAACC